This 1969-nucleotide long non-coding RNA is filed under the name Linum usitatissimum (flax). RNAcentral describes it as "long non-coding RNA (LUSI_LNC003819)". The record is from RNAcentral. Lineage: Eukaryota; Viridiplantae; Streptophyta; Magnoliopsida; Malpighiales; Linaceae.
UACCAUCACUGUGGACAACUCUGGAACUUUCAACACUCCAGCUGCAACUUGCUUCAUAUAAACAAAUCCAAACUUCAAUGUUUCCCAUUAAAUUUCGGUGUCAUUCAGCGAAAAGACAGCUAUCGGAAUCUAUCCAAAGGUAGAUUCAUCCAUUGCCUCAGAAAUUUCCGCUUCUCUUUGCAUAUAGAUAUUGGGUUAAAUAUCUGUUUGGCUUGUUGAUUCCUUGAUCUUCUGGAUUUCUCCUUCUCCCUCUGAAUUCCCAUCCCCCCUAUUUGGUUCCUGAGAAACCAGCUGAAUUCGAACCUUGGGGAUUAUAUAUAUAUAGAUAUACAUACAGAUAAGGUAAGUAAAGCUCCUCAAUUUGCGUGUGAUUGUUCAUCGGUAGGUUGUAAUAUUGGUUUCCAAGGUUCGAAUUCGUGUUGGGUUCGUCUUGAUCCUGCAAGGUUUUAGCUUAUAUGGUUAGAUUCAUGGGUUUGUUCACCUUUGUGUUCUUCAAUGCCUGAAAAGAACAGAGCUUUGUUCUGCAUUAAUGGCGGAAUUUGAAAGCUUUUUGAGAAAAGUCUUUGAAUUGGGUGAAUUUCUUUUGUUGGAUGAUGGUUGAGGUUCAUAGUUUACCUGAAAAGAACAGAGAUUUUAUUCGAAUGGGGUUCGUGUUUGGAUUCAUGAACUCCGGCUGUUCAAGCCCCUACAUGUUCGAUUGCUUUCUGGUGUUCUCGUUGAUAGUUUUUCUUCAUGGUCAUGUCUGCUCUAUGUAUUGAUCUAAUGGGAUAUGCGAUGGUUUGUUUGUAAGUAUGGCCAUAAGGUCGAAUCUGAUUCGUGAGUUUUCGAUAUAUGUACUCAAGCUGUUUGAACUUCGAACCCAGAUGCUUGAUUGUCUCCUGGUGAUCUUGUUGAUAGUUCUCUUUAUGUGUGAAGUUUGGUCAAUGCAAUUGAUCUAACGGUAGAUGAGUUGUGUUCAUUCAUUUAUCACCAUAAGAUCGAAUCUGAUUCGUGUUUUCCGAUACACAAACUCGAAUUCUCCUGUGCAGGAUCUUAGAGGAAUUAUAUGGAUAUAGAAGUACCACAAAGCAAACAGGUUUUAUCUCCUGAGGAGGCCACACGUGAGGCACUCAUCGGUAUCUCAAAUUCGGACAAUGCUGCUUCCGAGACCUUGAUCAGCUACAAAGAUGGAUCUGGAAAAGGCGUGAAUAACCUCGGUGGGAAAGAGAAGUACAUGUACGAACUCAUCUCCAUUUCGAACAGCCAGUCACCCGAUUCUGCAACUUAUCCAGUUGUUGCAGCACCUGCUGUGGAUUCUGUAAACCAUAAGUGUUACUGAAACCCUUGAAUGUGUUACUGAAACUUAAAGCACCCCCCAUGUGAAAUGGUCUUAUUGUACUAGUACUCUAGCUAUGUAUUAUAGUACUAUUAUGUUGAUGGAACAUCAACUUAGAAUGGCUGUUCUUUCUCUAUACCAGCUGUUUAAUUGCAGAUGGGUUGUUUACUACUGUCAACCGAUGUUAUAUAAUCAGUUAUAAACCUCUCUCCCAACAACUUGAGUUAUUGGGAUGCAAUGGUUCUUUCCCAAGUACCUAAUUCGAGCUAUUCGAACCCACAUGUUUGAUUUGUAUGUGUUGAUGACUGGGGUCGAGUUCUUUUGAUCUUUGAACCCGAUAUGUUUAACAGCCCUAUGGUUUGAUUGCCUUUUAUGUUUGCCCUACUCUUAUGCAUUGGUCUGAAAUUCAACAUGGGUUGUGUGUUAAUUCUCCUGUGCAGGGUUUCAGAGAAUUAUAUAGAUGCAGAAGCACCGUGGCGCAAUGUAGUUUCGUGUUCUAGGGAGGCGACACGGGAGGCACUCAUUGCAAUAUCGUAUUCGGUACCGGAUAAUGCUGCUGAGACCGUGAGCUACAAAGGUGGAAAAGGAGUGGUGGAUGGAAGAGGUGGAAUCGAGAAGUACAGGAACGAACUGAUCUCGAUUUCGGACNNNNNN